RNAcentral lists this microRNA precursor (117 nucleotides) under Cinara cedri. The record is from RNAcentral. Lineage: Eukaryota; Metazoa; Arthropoda; Insecta; Hemiptera; Aphididae.
AUUUCUAAAAUUUUAAAACUGCCAGGAAAUGUAGACUUUGAGAUGACCAAAUUCCCACAAUUUCAAUUUAGUCAUCUCAAAGUCUACAUUUCCUGGCAGUUUUAAAAUUUUAGAAAU